Molecule: ribosomal RNA, 1415 nt
Filed under: Pediococcus acidilactici
Lineage: Bacteria; Bacillati; Bacillota; Bacilli; Lactobacillales; Lactobacillaceae
Description: bacterial SSU rRNA
Rfam family: Bacterial small subunit ribosomal RNA
Source: RNAcentral
ACGAACUUCCGUUAAUUGAUUAUGACGUGCUUGCACUGAAUGAGAUUUUAACACGAAGUGAGUGGCGGACGGGUGAGUAACACGUGGGUAACCUGCCCAGAAGCAGGGGAUAACACCUGGAAACAGAUGCUAAUACCGUAUAACAGAGAAAACCGCCUGGUUUUCUUUUAAAAGAUGGCUCUGCUAUCACUUCUGGAUGGACCCGCGGCGCAUUAGCUAGUUGGUGAGGUAACGGCUCACCAAGGCGAUGAUGCGUAGCCGACCUGAGAGGGUAAUCGGCCACAUUGGGACUGAGACACGGCCCAGACUCCUACGGGAGGCAGCAGUAGGGAAUCUUCCACAAUGGACGCAAGUCUGAUGGAGCAACGCCGCGUGAGUGAAGAAGGGUUUCGGCUCGUAAAGCUCUGUUGUUAAAGAAGAACGUGGGUGAGAGUAACUGUUCACCCAGUGACGGUAUUUAACCAGAAAGCCACGGCUAACUACGUGCCAGCAGCCGCGGUAAUACGUAGGUGGCAAGCGUUAUCCGGAUUUAUUGGGCGUAAAGCGAGCGCAGGCGGUCUUUUAAGUCUAAUGUGAAAGCCUUCGGCUCAACCGAAGAAGUGCAUUGGAAACUGGGAGACUUGAGUGCAGAAGAGGACAGUGGAACUCCAUGUGUAGCGGUGAAAUGCGUAGAUAUAUGGAAGAACACCAGUGGCGAAGGCGGCUGUCUGGUCUGUAACUGACGCUGAGGCUCGAAAGCAUGGGUAGCGAACAGGAUUAGAUACCCUGGUAGUCCAUGCCGUAAACGAUGAUUACUAAGUGUUGGAGGGUUUCCGCCCUUCAGUGCUGCAGCUAACGCAUUAAGUAAUCCGCCUGGGGAGUACGACCGCAAGGUUGAAACUCAAAAGAAUUGACGGGGGCCCGCACAAGCGGUGGAGCAUGUGGUUUAAUUCGAAGCUACGCGAAGAACCUUACCAGGUCUUGACAUCUUCUGCCAACCUAAGAGAUUAGGCGUUCCCUUCGGGGACAGAAUGACAGGUGGUGCAUGGUUGUCGUCAGCUCGUGUCGUGAGAUGUUGGGUUAAGUCCCGCAACGAGCGCAACCCUUAUUACUAGUUGCCAGCAUUCAGUUGGGCACUCUAGUGAGACUGCCGGUGACAAACCGGAGGAAGGUGGGGACGACGUCAAAUCAUCAUGCCCCUUAUGACCUGGGCUACACACGUGCUACAAUGGAUGGUACAACGAGUCGCGAAACCGCGAGGUUUAGCUAAUCUCUUAAAACCAUUCUCAGUUCGGACUGUAGGCUGCAACUCGCCUACACGAAGUCGGAAUCGCUAGUAAUCGCGGAUCAGCAUGCCGCGGUGAAUACGUUCCCGGGCCUUGUACACACCGCCCGUCACACCAUGAGAGUUUGUAACACCCAAAGCCGGUGGGGUA